Molecule: ribosomal RNA, 492 nt
Filed under: uncultured bacterium
Lineage: Bacteria
Description: partial 16S ribosomal RNA
Rfam family: Bacterial small subunit ribosomal RNA
Source: RNAcentral
AGUGAACGCUGGCGGUAGACCUAACACAUGCAAGUCGAACGGCAGCACAGUAAGAGCUUGCUCUUACGGGUGGCGAGUGGCGGACGGGUGAGGAAUACAUCGGAAUCUACUUUUUCGUGGGGGAUAACGUAGGGAAACUUACGCUAAUACCGCAUACGACCUACGGGUGAAAGCAGGGGAUCUUCGGACCUUGCGCGAUUGAAUGAGCCGAUGUCGGAUUAGCUAGUUGGCGGGGUAAAGGCCCACCAAGGCGACGAUCCGUGGCUGGUCUGAGAGGAUGAUCAGCCACACUGGAACUGAGACACGGUCCAGACUCCUACGGGAGGCAGCAGUGGGGAAUAUUGGACAAUGGGCGCAAGCCUGAUCCAGCCAUACCGCGUGGGUGAAGAAGGCCUUCGGGUUGUAAAGCCCUUUUGUUGGGAAAGAAAAGCAGCAGGUUAAUACCCCGCUGUUCUGACGGUACCCAAAGAAUAAGCACCGGCUAACUUCGUG